AGAGUUUGAUCCUGGCUCAGAAUCAACGCUGGCGGCGUGCCUAACACAUGCAAGUCGAACGAGAAAGUGGAGCAAUCCAUGAGUAAAGUGGCGACCGGGUGAGUAACACGUGACUAACCUACCUCCGAGUGGGGAAUAACUCCGGGAAACCGGGGCUAAUACCGCAUAACAUCGCAAGAUCAAAGCAGCAAUGCGCUUGGAGAGGGGGUCGCGGCUGAUUAGCUAGUUGGCGGGGUAACGGCCCACCAAGGCGAAGAUCGGUAUCCGGCCUGAGAGGGCGCACGGACACACUGGAACUGAAACACGGUCCAGACUCCUACGGGAGGCAGCAGUGGGGAAUUUUGCGCAAUGGGGGAAACCCUGACGCAGCAACGCCGCGUGGAGGAUGAAGCCCCUUGGGGCGUAAACUCCUUUCGACCAAGACGAUAAUGACGGUACUGGUGGAAGAAGCACCGGCUAACUCUGUGCCAGCAGCCGCGGUAAUACAGAGGGUGCGAGCGUUGUUCGGAAUUAUUGGGCGUAAAGGGCGCGUAGGCGGUGCCACAAGUCACUUGUGAAA
This 559-nucleotide ribosomal RNA is filed under the name uncultured Acidobacteriota bacterium. RNAcentral's name for it is "bacterial SSU rRNA". It matches the Rfam family "Bacterial small subunit ribosomal RNA", at positions 8 to 599 of the family's 1533-position model. Lineage: Bacteria; Pseudomonadati; Acidobacteriota. The record is from RNAcentral.